This 426-nucleotide ribosomal RNA is filed under the name uncultured bacterium. Its description in RNAcentral is "partial 16S ribosomal RNA". It matches the Rfam family "Bacterial small subunit ribosomal RNA", at positions 354 to 796 of the family's 1533-position model. The record is from RNAcentral.
GUGAGGAAUUUUCCGCAAUGGGCGAAAGCCUGACGGAGCAAUGCCGCGUGAAGGAUGAAGGCCUAUGGGUUGUAAACUUCUUUUCUCAGAAAAGAAUUAUGACGGUAUCUGAGGAAUAAGCAUCGGCUAACUCUGUGCCAGCAGCCGCGGUAAGACAGAGGAUGCAAGCGUUAUCCGGAAUGAUUGGGCGUAAAGCGUCUGUAGGUUGUUUAAAAAGUAUUCUGUCAAAGAUUAGGGCUUAACCCUAGAUAGGCAGAAUAAACUUUUAAGCUAGAGUUUGGUAGAGGCAGAGGGAAUUCCCGGUGGAGCGGUGAAAUGCGUAGAUAUCGGGAGGAACACCAAAGGCGAAGGCACUCUGCUGGGCCAAUACUAACACUGAGAGACGAAAGCGAGGGGAGCAAAUGGGAUUAGAUUCCCGAGUAGUCC